Molecule: ribosomal RNA, 303 nt
Filed under: uncultured bacterium
Lineage: Bacteria
Description: partial 16S ribosomal RNA
Rfam family: Bacterial small subunit ribosomal RNA
Source: RNAcentral
AGCAGUAGCCGCGGUAAUACGAAGGGGGCUAGCGUUGUUCGGAAUUACUGGGCGUAAAGCGCACGUAGGCGGAUAUUUAAGUCAGGGGUGAAAUCCCGCAGCUCAACUGCGGAACUGCCUUUGAUACUGGGUAUCUUGAGUAUGGAAGAGGUUAGUGGAAUUGCGAGUGUAGAGGUGAAAUUCGUAGAUAUUCGCAGGAACACCAGUGGCGAAGGCGGCUAACUGGUCCAUAACUGACACUGAGGUGCGAAAGCGUGGGGAGCAAACAGGAUUAGAUACCCCUGUAGUCCCUGUCUCUUAUAC